Molecule: ribosomal RNA, 465 nt
Filed under: Vreelandella stevensii
Lineage: Bacteria; Pseudomonadati; Pseudomonadota; Gammaproteobacteria; Oceanospirillales; Halomonadaceae
Description: partial 16S ribosomal RNA
Rfam family: Bacterial small subunit ribosomal RNA
Source: RNAcentral
CCUACGGGCGGCAGCAGUGGGGAAUAUUGGACAAUGGGCGAAAGCCUGAUCCAGCCAUGCCGCGUGUGUGAAGAAGGCCUUCGGGUUGUAAAGCACUUUCAGUGGGGAAGAAAGCCUUGGGGCUAAUACCCUCGAGGAAGGACAUCACCCACAGAAGAAGCACCGGCUAACUCCGUGCCAGCAGCCGCGGUAAUACGGAGGGUGCGAGCGUUAAUCGGAAUUACUGGGCGUAAAGCGCGCGUAGGCGGUCUGAUAAGCCGGUUGUGAAAGCCCCGGGCUCAACCUGGGAACGGCAUCCGGAACUGUCAGGCUAGAGUGCAGGAGAGGAAGGUAGAAUUCCCGGUGUAGCGGUGAAAUGCGUAGAGAUCGGGAGGAAUACCAGUGGCGAAGGCGGCCUUCUGGACUGACACUGACGCUGAGGUGCGAAAGCGUGGGUAGCAAACAGGAUUAGAUACACCAGUAGUC